GCUUAUUGAAAUUUAAUUGCAAAAAAUAAAAUAUUCAGGUCUUUUUGCAUAAAACACCAAGCAGUACCAAAGUAUAUCUCAUCAAUAAUUAAGCUAAAUUUCAUAAACAUAAUGGAAUUUUACAAAAAGGCCUGGAGAUUUUCUGUGUCUUCCUUCAUUCACUAUCAUACGUGUCCCUUUUCUGAGCCAGCUUUCUUUUACUUCCCCCAUCCAAAAAAUCUCAUAUAACUGCUUCUCAGCCUUUGUGCCCAAUUCUGAAUACCUUGCGGCUGCAUGUGACUGCCUGCCCUAACUGGUUGGACUGGUUAAAGGCUAAGAGUUUGAAUGCAUACUCUUCGCGUCAACCCAUGAAUUAGAAGCUAGGAGGAAACAUGAUAUGAGCCAGGAACCAAUUCCUUCAUAUCACCUGAAAAGAGCCCUUGAAUGCAACAAAAGAGAAAAGAAUAAAAGACACCUAUUUCUAACAAAUGCUUGGAUUUGGUCCCUUGAAAAUACCCCGGCAUGAUAUAUGAGCAGAGUGUGCAACAAUACCUUGAAACCAGCCAAGAACCUUGCAUUAAUGUUACUUUACCAAGAGAUGCAUGUUUAGCACUUCAAAACGGGUCACCAUCAGCACCAAAAUGAAGCAGCAAAACAAAAGAAUAAAAAAACGUUGAGAAGAAUACAUCAAUGUGACGUGUUGCGUGUAUGUCUUCCAGUUUCUUUCUUCUGACCAUCCGGAUGUCUUCGUAGGUGAGCUGUGCCUUUAUCUUAUCAGGUUGCUUAAAAGAAAAACCUUACACAAAGAGUAAAAAAAAAUCUACUUAACCGAAACGCUUAAACUCAAAAAGGCAAAAAAAAAAAAAAAGCGUAGAAAUCAAAACAGAUUAAAAAAAAGGCAAAGUCUUCAAAUGUGAAAGGGAUUCUUCUCCGCCUUGAGAGCCCUGGAGCGAUGUUGCUUGUUUAAGCUGAGAAACAAGAAGAGGCUGAGAAGGGCUAAGGGCUUGGCUUACAUGUAGGUGUUCACCCCUCCCCAUACAGGUGCAUUCUUUCCAACAAGCCAAUCUCUUUUCGCAGCCCUUCAACAGGUGUGGCCUUCAAG
Molecule: non-coding RNA, 1081 nt
Organism: Pelobates cultripes (western spadefoot toad)
Lineage: Eukaryota; Metazoa; Chordata; Amphibia; Anura; Pelobatidae
Source: the annotation of a GenBank genome assembly